This 1722-nucleotide long non-coding RNA is filed under the name Phoenix dactylifera (date palm). RNAcentral's name for it is "long non-coding RNA (PDAC_LNC012482)". The record is from RNAcentral. Lineage: Eukaryota; Viridiplantae; Streptophyta; Magnoliopsida; Arecales; Arecaceae.
GAGAAAAGUAUAAGCAUAAAACAUAAUUUUCAAGGGUAGGAGUCCAUAUUCUUUUACUCAGCAAUAAUGAUGAUGAUUUGAUGAUAUAGACCUGAGCCACAAGUCUUAGAACAACAACAAUAACAGUAGAAGAGCACUUAAAAUAUAGAGGUGUUAUAUAGCUCUCCGUUGUAAGCUGAACACGCCCAAACAUGACAUCAGCCUUGGGCUGCUUAUUUAGUGCAUGGAUUGAUACAAAGUGAAGGUAAUAUAUGUUCGACCACAGAGCGGUCAAUGGCCCCUGAUACUAGUAUAGAUAAGGUUUUUGUGGCAAUUAUGGUGUGGGAGGACGACCACGGCAUCCGUAGAUCCUUUUGCAGGGAAGUCGAUGCACUGGUGGAGGGGGAGGCACUGGUGGAGGGGGACGGCAUCUGUAGAUCCCUCUGCAGGGACGUGGAUACACCACUGGUGGAGAGGGAAGGCAUCGGCCGUAAGGCUUGCCCUUGCCCACUACACAUGGUUGCCUACUCGGCGCUAACGCACCACGAGAAAUAUGCCCAGCAUCCGCAGGCUUCUGGCCAUCAACUUCUGCACAAACCAAUUGUCAAUUAUUAUUUGCAUUAACUUAGAGGGAAAGAUGUAUUUAAUUUUCUUUUUAAGAUAAAAGAUCGAAAUUUAUAACGUUCCAACAGCAUUCACCAAGAUCUACAUUUGCCAUUCAUUUUUUUAAAAGGAAAAAUAAUUGAAGGAAGUUUCUUACCUCCAUUCUAAACUAGUUUUACUAGAUUAUACUAGGUUAUGAAGGAGACAAAGUAAGUUAAAUUCCCAUUCAACUAUUUUAACAUAGCAGUAUGAUGUGUUACAGAUAGUGAUGUCAAACCAAUUGAGUGAGCAGGUCAAACUCAGAUCAAGCUUCAGCUUGAGAAAAACUCAAAUUGUAGAUAAAUAAAUUAAAUUUGAAUCAAUAAAACAAGCUUUUAUUGUGUACGUGAGUGCGUUUGUAUAGAUAGGUACACAGAUAGAUAGAUAAUGGAUUUUUGAAUUAGGACUUUGAUUAAUAUAAUUCUUUUAAUCAAUUAAAUAUUAAUUUAGACUUGAGUCAAGCUUAAAAUCAAGCUAUAAUUCAAACUCAAUUUAAGAUUAUUGAGCUGAUCAAGUACACCCGUCUUCGAGUUGGUUCGAAAUUAAGCUUGAAAUAUUGAUAAGAAAAAUCGAACUUGAUCUUCGAGUUUCUAGCUUAAAAUUAGUUUCAAAUUAAGCUUAAUCAGGCCCAAGCUUAAUCAGACCCAAGCUUGAUUAAGCUUAGCUCUCUUAGACCCCUAGCCCUUGAUGGCAGCAUGUGGGCAACCAGUCUAAUUCAUGUCAGGCCUCUUCCACUUUCAGAUGGAAGGCAUCUAUUUUGUGCAUAAAAAAUUCUAAUACAUGCCUGAUAAUACCACUUGUGGUAACUCAAUAUUAAACCACCCCUACCUAUCACAUUAAUUUUCAAAGAGUAAACUUGUCCCUUCAUAUCAUGCAGCCAGAGAACAUUAUGUGCCUACAGAUGUCCCUAUCUUUAUUGCUUCAAAUAUGAGAUAAAUUUCUUGUAAUAAAGUGGGAAAGCUGGAAAAAAAAAAGAGAACAAAAAAGAAUGGUUUGGCUCUAACUUAUGUUUUACUCCAUAUUCUAGCUACAACUUAUGCGAUAUUAAUUAAAAGAAAGCAAUAUAUUUUUCAUAAAAGAAGUAAAUUGGGAGAUUAAAAA